UGCGCAGGCGGAAUGAUUAGUCAGUGGUGAAAGCCCUCGGCUCAACCGAGGAACUGCCAUUGAUACUGUCAUUCUUGAGUACAGUUGUAGUGGGCGGAAUGUGUCAUGUAGCGGUGAAAUGCAUAGAGAUGACACAGAACACCGAUCGCGAAGGCAGCUCACUAAGCUGAAACUGACGCUCAGGCACGAAAGCGUGGGUAGCAAACAGGAUUAGAUACCCUGGUAGUC
Molecule: ribosomal RNA, 228 nt
Filed under: uncultured bacterium
Lineage: Bacteria
Description: partial 16S ribosomal RNA
Rfam family: Bacterial small subunit ribosomal RNA
Source: RNAcentral